GACUCGGUGGCGAAACGGUAUCGCAUCUGCCCAAUAUCGUCAUAAGGACGCACAAUGCGUGUUGGCAGGAGGAUCCCAGUUCGAAUCUGGGCCGAGUCG
RNAcentral lists this transfer RNA (99 nucleotides) under Stereum hirsutum FP-91666 SS1. Its description in RNAcentral is "tRNA-Ile". The record is from RNAcentral. Lineage: Eukaryota; Fungi; Basidiomycota; Agaricomycetes; Russulales; Stereaceae.